UACGUAGGUGGCAAGCGUUGUCCGGAUUUACUGGGUGUAAAGGGCGUGUAGCCGGGCUGACAAGUCAGAUGUGAAAUCCGGGGGCUCAACCCCCGAACUGCAUUUGAAACUGUUGGUCUUGAGUAUCGGAGAGGGUGGCGGAAUUCCAGGUGUAGGAGUGAAAUCCGUAGAUAUCUGGAGGAACAUCAGUGGCGAAGGCGGCUUGCUGGACUGUAACUGACGUUGAGGCUCGAAAGCGUGGGGAGCAA
This 248-nucleotide ribosomal RNA is filed under the name uncultured Eubacterium sp. Its description in RNAcentral is "partial 16S ribosomal RNA". It matches the Rfam family "Bacterial small subunit ribosomal RNA", at positions 524 to 771 of the family's 1533-position model. Lineage: Bacteria; Bacillati; Bacillota; Clostridia; Eubacteriales; Eubacteriaceae. The record is from RNAcentral.